AUUGCCCUAGUAACGGCGAGCGAAGCGGCAACAGCUCAAAUUUGAAAUCUGGCUAUUUUGUAGUCCGAGUUGUAAUUUGUAGAGGAUGCUUUUGGUGAGGUGCCUUCCGAGUUCCCUGGAACGGGACGCCAGAGAGGGUGAGAGCCCCGUACGGUUGGAUACCAAACCUUUGUAUAGCUCCUUCGACGAGUCGAGUAGUUUGGGAAUGCUGCUCUAAAUGGGAGGUAUAUCUCUUCUAAAGCUAAAUAUAGGCUAGAGACCGAUAGCGCACAAGUAGAGUGAUCGAAAGAUGAAAAGCACUUUGAAAAGAGAGUUAAACAGCACGUGAAAUUGUUGAAAGGGAAGCGCCUAUGACCAGACUUGUUUCUUUCAGUUUUGUUAGUUUUCGGACUGAUUUACUCUGUUAGUACAGGCCAGCAUCAGUUUGUUGUCAGGGAGAAAGGCUUAGGGAAUGUGGCUCUUUCGGGAGUGUUAUAGCCCUUUGCAUAAUACCUUUCGGCAGACUGAGGACCGCGCUUCGGCAAGGAUGCUGGCGUAAUGGUCAUCAGCGACCCGUCUUGAAACACGGACCAAGGAGUCAACCUUAUGUGCGAGUGUUUGGGUGUAAAACCCCAGCGCGUAAUGAACGUGAACGUAGGUGAGAGCUUCGGCGCAUCAUCGACCGAUUCUGAUGUUCUCGGAUGGAUUUGAGUAAGAGCACACAGGGUUGGACCCGAAAGAAGGUGAACUAUGCUUGUAUAGGGUGAAGCCAGAGGAAACUCUGGUGGAGGCUCGCAGCGGUUCUGACGUGCAAAUCGAUCGUCAAAUAUGAGCAUGGGGGCGAAAGACUAAUCGAACCUUCUAGUAGCUGGUUCCAGCG
RNAcentral lists this ribosomal RNA (859 nucleotides) under Berkeleyomyces basicola. RNAcentral's name for it is "LSU rRNA". It matches the Rfam family "Eukaryotic large subunit ribosomal RNA", at positions 74 to 962 of the family's 3401-position model. Lineage: Eukaryota; Fungi; Ascomycota; Sordariomycetes; Microascales; Ceratocystidaceae. The record is from RNAcentral.